AGCUCUGUAAGCGUAUACCAAAGUUGUUGCAGUUAAAACGCUCGUAGUCGGAAGUUGGCGGUUCCGGAUGGGUGCGCCUCGUGCGUGCGCAUUGCGGGGACAGCUUUUGUGGGAGAUCGCGUGUGGGAUGAGGCGCAUUAAAUUGUGAACGUCCUAUUACAACGCGAACCACUGUUUACUGUGAGAAAAUCAGAGUGCUCAAAGCAGGCAUUUGCCGUGAAUGUAUUAGCAUGGAAUAAUAGAAUAGGACUCGGUUCUAUUUUGUUGGUUUGUUGUUGGGGCUGAGUAAUGAUUAAGAGGGACAGUUGGGGGCAUUUGUAUUUCGGCGCUAGAGGUGAAAUUCUUAGAUUGCCGAAAGACAAACAGCUGCGAAAGCGUCUGCCAAGGAUGUUUUCA
RNAcentral lists this ribosomal RNA (396 nucleotides) under uncultured eukaryote. RNAcentral describes it as "SSU rRNA". It matches the Rfam family "Eukaryotic small subunit ribosomal RNA", at positions 587 to 972 of the family's 1831-position model. The record is from RNAcentral.